UGGGGGAUAUUGCACAAUGGGCGAAAGCCUGAUGCAGCGACGCCGCGUGGGGGAUGAAGGCCUUCGGGUUGUAAACUUCUUUUGCUCUGAACAAGGCAUGCCUUUGGGGUGUGUUGAGUGUAGGGGUUGAUUAGCGCCGGCUAACUACGUGCCAGCAGCCGCGGUAAUACGUAGGGCGCGAGCGUUGUCCGGAAUUAUUGGGCGUAAAGGGCUUGUAGGUGGCUGGUUGCGUCUGUCGUGAAAGCUCAUGGCUUAACUGUGGGUUUGCGGUGGGUACGGGCUGGCUUUAGUGCAGUAGGGGAGGCUGGAAUUCCUGGUGUAGCGGUGGAAUGCGCAGAUAUCAGGAGGAAUACCGGUGGCGAAGGCGGGUCUCUGGGCUGUUACUGACGCUGAGGAGCGAAAGCGUGGGGAGCGAACAGG
RNAcentral lists this ribosomal RNA (420 nucleotides) under Fusobacteriota bacterium. Its description in RNAcentral is "Fusobacteria bacterium partial 16S ribosomal RNA". It matches the Rfam family "Bacterial small subunit ribosomal RNA", at positions 355 to 776 of the family's 1533-position model. Lineage: Bacteria; Fusobacteriati; Fusobacteriota. The record is from RNAcentral.